This 471-nucleotide ribosomal RNA is filed under the name uncultured bacterium. RNAcentral describes it as "bacterial SSU rRNA". It matches the Rfam family "Bacterial small subunit ribosomal RNA", at positions 29 to 506 of the family's 1533-position model. The record is from RNAcentral.
ACGAACGCUGGCGGCGUGCUUAACACAUGCAAGUCGAACGAACUAUAGCAAUAUAGUUAGUGGCGGACGGGUGAGUAACGCGUGACCAAUCUGCCCCGGACUGCGGAAUAACGGUGGGAAACUACCGCUAAUACCGCAUGUUGAAAUUAGAUCGCAUGGUCUGAUUUUGAAAGCUUCGGCGGUCCGGGAUGAGGUCGCGACCUAUUAGCUUGUUGGUGAGGUAAUGGCUCACCAAGGCGACGAUGGGUAGCUGGUCUGAGAGGAUGAUCAGCCACACUGGGACUGAGAUACGGCCCAGACUCCUACGGGAGGCAGCAGUGAGGAAUAUUGCGCAAUGGACGAAAGUCUGACGCAGCAACGCCGCGUGAAGGAUGAAGGUGCUUUGCAUUGUAAACUUCUGUAGGGAGGGAAGAACCCCCCGCUUUUGGCGGGGUUGACGGUACCUCCAAAGUAAGCACCGGCUAAUUCCGU